GUGAGGAAUAUUGGACAAUGGGCGCAAGCCUGAUCCAGCCAUGCCGCGUGCAGGAAGACGCAUCUAUGGUGUGUAAACUGCUUUUGUACGGGAAGAAACACUCCCUCGUGAGGGAGCUUGACGGUACCGUAAGAAUAAGGAUCGGCUAACUCCGUGCCAGCAGCCGCGGUAAUACGGAGGAUCAAAGCGUUAUCCGGAAUCAUUGGGUUUAAAGUGUCCGUAGGCGGUUUAAUAAGUCAGUGGUGAAAGCCCAUCGCUCAACGAUGGAACGGCCAUUGAUACUGUUAGACUUGAAUUACAAGGAAGUAACUAGAAUAUGUAGUGUAGCGGUGAAAUGCUUAGAUAUUACAUGGAAUACCAAUUGCGAAGGCAGGUUACUACUUGUGGAUUGACGCUGAUGGACGAAAGCGUGGGGAGCGAACAGGAUUAGAUACCCGUGUAGUCC
RNAcentral lists this ribosomal RNA (445 nucleotides) under uncultured bacterium. RNAcentral describes it as "partial 16S ribosomal RNA". It matches the Rfam family "Bacterial small subunit ribosomal RNA", at positions 354 to 796 of the family's 1533-position model. The record is from RNAcentral.